UACGGGGGGUGCAAGCGUUAUCCGGAAUUAUUGGGCGUAAAGCGUUUGUAGGCGGGCGAGUGUGUUUAAUGUUAAAUCUUAAAGCUCAACUUUGAAAUUGCGUUAAAAACUGCUUGUCUUGAGUAUGGUAGGGGUAAAGGGAAUUCCCAGUGUAGCGGUGAAAUGCGUAGAUAUUGGGAAGAACACUAAACAGCGAAGGCACUUUACUAGGCUAAUACUGACGCUGAGAAACGAAAGGUAAGGUAGCGAAACGGAUUAGAUACCCGUGUAGUCUUACCCGUAAACUAUGGACACUAAACGGUAAAUUUUUAAUUUACUGUUAAAGCUAACGCGUUAAGUGUCCCGCCUGGGGAGUAUGCUUGCAAAAGUGAAACUCAAAGGAAUUGACGGGGGCCCGCACAAGCGGUGGAGCAUGUGGUUUAAUUCGACGGUACACGAAGAACCUUACCAGGAUUUGACAUGCUAGAUAGUUGCUUGAAAGAGUAACGUGCCGUAAGGAAUCUAGACACAGGUGGUGCAUGGCUGUCGUCAGUUCGUGUUGUGAAAUGUUGGGUUAAGUCCCGCAACGAACGCAACCCUUGUCUUUAGUUAUUUUCUAAAGAGACUGCCUGUAAUAAACAGGAGGAAGGUAAGGAUGAGGUCAAGUCAUCAUGCCCCUUAUGUCCUGGGCUACACACGUGCUACAAUGGGAAAGACAAUGGGCUGCAAAUCUGUAAAUUUAAGCAAAUCUCUUAAACUUUCUCGUAGUUCGGAUUGUGGGCUGCAACUCGCCCACAUGAAGUUGGAAUCGCUAGUAAUCGCCAGUCAGCUAUAUGGCGGUGAAUCCGUUCCCGGGCCU
Molecule: ribosomal RNA, 838 nt
Filed under: uncultured bacterium
Lineage: Bacteria
Description: bacterial SSU rRNA
Rfam family: Bacterial small subunit ribosomal RNA
Source: RNAcentral